RNAcentral lists this ribosomal RNA (465 nucleotides) under Vreelandella stevensii. RNAcentral's name for it is "partial 16S ribosomal RNA". It matches the Rfam family "Bacterial small subunit ribosomal RNA", at positions 338 to 795 of the family's 1533-position model. Lineage: Bacteria; Pseudomonadati; Pseudomonadota; Gammaproteobacteria; Oceanospirillales; Halomonadaceae. The record is from RNAcentral.
CCUACGGGGUGCAGCAGUGGGGAAUAUUGGACAAUGGGCGAAAGCCUGAUCCAGCCAUGCCGCGUGUGUGAAGAAGGCCUUCGGGUUGUAAAGCACUUUCAGUGGGGAAGAAAGCCUUGGGGCUAAUACCCUCGAGGAAGGACAUCACCCACAGAAGAAGCACCGGCUAACUCCGUGCCAGCAGCCGCGGUAAUACGGAGGGUGCGAGCGUUAAUCGGAAUUACUGGGCGUAAAGCGCGCGUAGGCGGUCUGAUAAGCCGGUUGUGAAAGCCCCGGGCUCAACCUGGGAACGGCAUCCGGAACUGUCAGGCUAGAGUGCAGGAGAGGAAGGUAGAAUUCCCGGUGUAGCGGUGAAAUGCGUAGAGAUCGGGAGGAAUACCAGUGGCGAAGGCGGUCUUCUGGACUGACACUGACGCUGAGGUGCGAAAGCGUGGGUAGCAAACAGGAUUAGAUACCCGUGUAGUC